GUUAGAUACACAAGAGGCUGCAGAGUCCAAAUAUAAGAAAUGGGAGAAGGAUCCAGCUCCCUAUGGAUGGGAUGUCUUUAAUCAGAAAACAUUGUAUAAUGCAUACAAAAAGAGGACGAAGAAUGUAAAUGUUGACCUUGAGGAAUAUAAUAAAAUGAAAGAAUCUGAUCCUGAGUUCUACCGUAAGGCUUCAAGUCUUCAGUAUGGAAAGGCACCCAAGAUUUCAGAGGAUAAGAUUGACAAUAUGGUGAAAGAACUCAAGGACCGGGAUGAGAAGCGAAAGUCCUUUAGCCGUAGGAGGAAGUUCCAUGAAGACAAGGAUAUCGAUUCUAUCAAUGACCGCAAUGAGCAUUUCAACAAAAAGAUUGAGCGGGCCUUUGGUAGAUACACUCUGGAGAUCAAAAACAAUCUUGAGCGAGGAACUGCAUUACCUGAUUAAGGAUUUUCGGGGAAGUUUGGAAUCCUAGUAGUUGGGAGUAUUUAAAGCUUUUCUCCUUCAAUUUCGAAAAGAAGUUCUGUAAAAGAUUUCUAGCAAAGCUACAGAAUUCUUCUAUUAAGUGAGAAGAUGUCUUAGAUAUGCAAUGUACCAUGUAGCAAUAUAUUUGACAAUAGCAGCUCACUUGAUUGAAGUUGUUUCAUUGUGAAUACCUUGUUCCAACAAGUACGGAUCACCCCAAAUCCAAACAAAG
This 689-nucleotide unclassified non-coding RNA is filed under the name Hevea brasiliensis (rubber tree). The record is from RNAcentral. Lineage: Eukaryota; Viridiplantae; Streptophyta; Magnoliopsida; Malpighiales; Euphorbiaceae.